GGUCACAGUUGCCAAGGGUCUACAACUAAUGCAGGAAGAAACUCGACUUCAUCUGCAAAACCCACAGUAUAACCUGAUAAGAUCGCAGUCAUAGAUAUACUGGGGACCAGGAUAUCCUCAAGAAGAAUUAUUGGUGAAAUUAUUAAGGCCACUCCACGUAGUUAAAAGGAGAUUUAUUUAAUGGCGUAACUUACAAAUUAAGGAAUAGGUAGGUCGCGGAGUCUGGGGAAGGCGUUCACAGUCCAGCGGUGUUCUCUGGAGCUCUGCUCGGUCCACCUCCACUAUCCAGGGUCCCGCAACAGAGAGAGCGCCCGCCGAUCCAGAUCUUGGGUCCCCAGGCGCCUCCCUUGGCCCCGCCUUGUAGGCGUGACAGUUGCCGAAGUCUCAAUGGGGGUUGGAACUUCCAGAUCAAAGCUGGAAUGGCUACCCACUACAAAGAAUAUUUGUUUUGUUUUGUUUUUCAUUUUCCAGUAUUUUUACUUAAUUUUUUAUUAUUAUCACUGGAAGAAUUAUUGUGGCUUAAUUUACUCCAUUCUUAUCAGAAUUGGCAGCCUUGGGUCUUUAUAUUUUUAUAUUUGCCUGUUUACUUCAUUUAUCUGUCACCUCACAAAGAGUGUAGUCUAUUAAAUCUAGCUUUGAUUCUCAGCUCUGCUGUUAGUAACUGAAUUGUUUCAGAUUUCUGGUCAUCAAUGUUCCCAGUAAAUAGCAGAAAUAGUAAUUUGUACUUUUAGAAUUUCCUUUAGAUGUUAAAGGUGAAAGUAUAUAUAGAACGUGGGCAUGGGAUCCAGAAUCAGUUGGUUUUCAUAUUCCCUUUAUGACCAUAAUUACCCUAAAGGUUGGAAGGUUGGAUAUUGGUAUUUGGGAUGACUUACCCAGGAUUGUGCUUCUGGGUAUCCAUAAUACAGAUCCAUUAAGUUGAUUUUGUGAGGCGAGUUUGUGCCUUCAGAUCUUCUAGUUUCAAUAAAUCCUGUAUGGGGGGAAAAACUGCUUGAUUGUCAUUCACAGAAGCAGCAUUGUAAGAAAUAUUAAUCACAGCACCAGGGUUCUGGGCAAUGUCCUUUUCUUUUUUGAGUGCACUUAAAUCAAGCCAGGAGAUACAACUGGACUUUCUUCCUAUCAAAUAUGAAUGAGUCUAUUGAAUUUUUUUUUCUUUUAAGGCAGACAAUCUAUUCAGGAACAGUUGUCUGGCUUAGUAAAAUAAAUAGCAUUUGUGUAUAUGGUCUAUAUAGAAUGUUAUUUUUUUAUAUAUAUUUUUAAAACAUCCAGUAUGGAAUGAUCUGUUCUAGCCUCAAGAGUUUAGCUGUGACUCAAAACUGAAUGAUUUGUGUAUUGAGCAGACAUGUUAUUUCAAAAAUGGUCUAUUGAUUGGGCUUUCCUGUGAAUCAUUAACAUCUAUAUCUGACCAGCUGUUAGAUGUAUGUUUUGAAUGUGUGUGUCUCUUGCUUUGUGUUACAUUUAAGCUGUAUACUGAAAUUUUGUGUGUGGUUUCAAACGCAUUUUGCUAUAGUAGAAUCAAUUUCAUGCUGAUGAUGAAAGGAGAAACUGGUUGAAGUUACAUUAGCUGUGUCUCUCUGGUAAACAUUUCACAGUUGCUAUUCACAUUUAUGCCUGUUCAAAUAGAAACCCAUCAAUCAUGUAAACCUAGGGCGAGAAUCUGAUCUCUAAUGCAUAGCAUAAAUUGCCACAUACUCUUCUCUUCCAAGAAAAGAAUGUGCAGUAACAUUUCAGAUUAAAAUCUGUCCUUUCCAAUUGAUUUUAUUGUUACUGAAAAAGCAAAAUGCAGUAUCAUGUAAGGAAAUAAAAUAAUUCCUGUCAGGGCAUCGUUUUGUACAAAUCAAAUGUUCAUAUAUUUCUAUAAUCAUAGCUCUAGAGAAAUUUUUUUAAUUACUUGUGCAUUUUAAGAUGAAUUACUUUACCUUGUAUAGCCAUAUAUGCUAAUUUGAAUUGUAGAAAGCUAUAUUAUAGUAAAGAUAACCUAAAAUUAUGGCACAAAAAGUAAACAAAGCCUAUUUGCAUAGCACAUGAGAGUUAUAAAUUUUAUAUUUUAUGUAAUUAUAAGAUAUAUUUAAUAAUGGUUUAUGACAGUUGGAACUUUUUAUUAAAAUUGAACCAAAAUAAAAUGUUUACAAUUAUAAAACAAUUUGGGUAUUUGUGUAUUUUUAAUUAUAGGAUAAUUGGCAGAAGAGUUGAACGUAAAUUUUUAUUGAAAUUCUCAUCUAAAAAAAUUCAGUUUAUUCACACUAGCAGUUUUUGAUAAUGUUUAUUAAGAGCUGUUUAUGAAGCUGAGCUUAUUGAUUCACCCCUGACUCUCAACACUUAGGAGGCAAAGACGAGCAGAUAUCUGUGUUCCAGGCUAGGCUUUCUAAUAAGACCUUGUGUCAAAGAAAGAAAAAAAAAAAGAACUUGUUAUUAACAAAGUACCAAAUAGGUAUUUUUAAGAUUGCCAAAAAUAAAUCUUGUCCAGUCUUGCCUCAGAGUAUGAGGUUUUAUAGGAGGAACAAAAGCUCAUGGGUAUAUGCAUAGUAGGUCAACAUUGGAAGCAUAGUUUUCAACCCAAAGAUGCCCAGGAAGAACACUUGUAGCUAUCAGUCUGUAAUUAUGUAUCAGAAUUACAGGUGACCUUCAAGGGAGUCUACUAUCAUUCCAAAUAUUAGAUUAAUUUUGAAAGAAGGGGUAAAUAUUUUCUUACACCUGGGAAUGGAGGGCAGGCUGUUGUGUAGUAUGAGUCUUCAACUAGUACAUGAACUGUUUCUCUAGGUAAGCCAGUUAUUUUAGAAUUAUUCUGAUUUUGUCUGAGUUCUACCAUUUUUGUAGCCUUGAGUAAAAUAUAUUUCUUUAAAUUCCAGGUUCUUCAUCUACAAAACAUAGAGUUAAUAUUUCUCUGACUAGUUUUUUGUGAAAAGUGAAUGAGGUAAUGGAUGAAACGAUUGUGUUUAUAUACUGACUUUAAUACUUUAGGUUAUAGAACAUAGUUUUAGUAACUAUUCCUAUUGCUACUUCUUGUACUAAGAAAGGAUGGGUGGAAAUAGACUUUCAUGACAUACUAAUAAUAAAACCACAAUACUGUAUUUACUUUAGAAUAAAUAGAAGAGUCACUGUACCCAACAAGAAAUGGAAAGUACUUUUUUCAAUCCAUAUUAUUUAUUUUUUAUUAAGGAAAAUGUGUUGUGAUUUAUAAAUAAAAUUAACUUGGUGUUUAAUCUCA
This is a long non-coding RNA of Peromyscus californicus insignis, 3205 nucleotides long. RefSeq lists it as uncharacterized. Lineage: Eukaryota; Metazoa; Chordata; Mammalia; Rodentia; Cricetidae. The record is from RefSeq and is a predicted model, not a curated record. The transcript has 2 exons.